RNAcentral lists this ribosomal RNA (216 nucleotides) under Glomeromycotina sp. Its description in RNAcentral is "partial small subunit ribosomal RNA". The stretch from base 40 to 216 matches the Rfam family "Eukaryotic small subunit ribosomal RNA", at positions 686 to 864 of the family's 1831-position model. The record is from RNAcentral. Lineage: Eukaryota; Fungi; Glomeromycota.
GGGUCAGUAGGAUGGUCGUGCCACCGGUACGUACUGGUCUCACUGAUUCCUCCUUCCUGAAGAACCGUAAUGCCAUUAAUUUGGUGUUGCGGGGAAACAGGACUGUUACUUUGAAAAAAUUAGAGUGUUUAAAGCAAGCUAACGCCUGAAUACAUUAGCAUGGAAUAAUGAAAUAGGACGAUCGAUCCUAUUUUGUUGGUGUCUAGGAUUGACGUA